UCCAUGGAUUUAAUAAUAAAUAAAUAAAAUUAAAAACCGAAGGCAUAUGCAAAGGCAGUGAUGGGCUCUCCACAAUGCAAGGGAUUGGUAGGAGGGUUCUACAUGGGAUGGGAAGAGGAAGAAUGAGAAUAAAUGUCUUUAUUUUCUCUUUUAUUUGUAUUUUUAUAUUUGUGUUAUUACUAUUCAAAAAGAAAUGAUUUGCUGUUUGAUCUCUGCCUUGCAUUUAGCUAUAUAAAUCCAUACCUCCACUCUCAGAUCCAUGAGAUGCUUGGAUGAGUUGUCUACAGCUAGUGAUAGAAGCUGCCUCCUCUCUUCUCCUCUCCUCUCCUUCCUCCAUUGACCCUUUCUUUGAGCUACCCUCUUUUGAAUAGUCGCUUUCUUCAACCUUCUCUAUCUUGUUCUUUCUCUUAACGAUUUCAAAUUUGGUAGUCCCUUUCAGCUUCCAUCCGUGCAAUCUUUGUCAGUUGCUAUAUGGGGGGUUCAGAUCAGAGGGUUUCAUGGGAUAGAUAUGCGUAAGAAUAUUGCAUCAGUUAGGAACAACAAAUAUUGAGCUAACAAGGGUUUGGUUUUUAGGGUUUUUAUCAUGCUGCAGCCUGUUUUUUUGAAGCUACCCUUGAAAGGCAGCCGCAUGAAGGAGAUAAGCUUACAGAUUCAUCACGCUCCUCGACAAUAGCUUCUUGGGUCUUGCUCGGCAACAAGUUCCUAGAAGGGCUAGACAUGUCUUCCAGAGGUUCAUUUACCGAAAUGUCCUCAAAAUGAGUUUCGAGCAGUGGCUCAGGAGGGAUAUUUUAAAAUUUUAAUUAAUUUAAAGUAAUUAGAAGAGCUCUAUUCAUUUCUUGUUUCCAUCUGAUUUGCUUUAUUUGCUGGAACUCAUUUAUGAGUAGAGAUUGUAUUUUUUCCAGUUUCUUUUUUGGCUAACAAAAGCUUAUCUUGAGUUUCUUCUUCACUUGAGUACUGUAUACAUAGUUACAGAUUGAAACUAUU
Molecule: long non-coding RNA, 984 nt
Organism: Hevea brasiliensis (rubber tree)
Lineage: Eukaryota; Viridiplantae; Streptophyta; Magnoliopsida; Malpighiales; Euphorbiaceae
Exons: 2
Source: RefSeq, a predicted model, not a curated record